AACGCAUAUUGCACCUUUUGGUACUCCGAAAGGUACACCUGUUCGAGCGUCAUUUAAACCCUCAAGUUUUACUUGAUGUUGGAGAAAAUUUAGUUAAUAUCUCCUAAACUUUUAGGCACCUCCCAGUAAUUUUAGAGUGUGACAAAGUCAAAUACUCACUAAAAAUGAUGGGGGGUAUGUCAAAAAAUUAGUUGGAAAUUCAUUAAUUUUGAAAUUCUUCGGUAUUUUACUUACUAAAUCGAUCAACUUUAGUGGGAUACCCCUUUAAUUUCUCGAAAUUUUAGUGGGUUACCCCCUAAUAAUUUUCGGAUUUAGUGAAAUACCCCCUAAAAGUCUUUUGAAUUUACUGUAUACCCACUAAUUUUUCGUACUUUUGACCUCGGAUCAGGUGGGGAUACCCGCUGAACUUAA
RNAcentral lists this unclassified non-coding RNA (411 nucleotides) under uncultured fungus. RNAcentral describes it as "sequence contains ITS2". The record is from RNAcentral. Lineage: Eukaryota; Fungi.